Molecule: ribosomal RNA, 447 nt
Filed under: uncultured bacterium
Lineage: Bacteria
Description: partial 16S ribosomal RNA
Rfam family: Bacterial small subunit ribosomal RNA
Source: RNAcentral
AGCGAACGCUGGCGGCAGGCUUAACACAUGCAAGUCGAACGCCCCGCAAGGGGAGUGGCAGACGGGUGAGUAACACGUGGGAACGUACCCUUUGGUUCGGAAUAACUUGGGGAAAAGCAAGCUAAUACCGGAUAAGCCCCUACGGGGAAAGGUUUACUGCCGGAGGAUCGGCCCGCGUCUGAUUGGCUAGUUGGUGAGGUAAUGGCUCACCAAGGCGACGAUCAGUAGCUGGUCUGAGAGGAUGAUCAGCCACACUGGGACUGAGACACGGCCCAGACUCCUACGGGAGGCAGCAGUGGGGAAUAUUGGACAAUGGGGGCAACCCUGAUCCAGCCAUGCCGCGUGAGUGAUGAAGGCCUUAGGGUUGUAAAGCUCUUUUACCCGGGACGAUAAUGACUGUACCGGGAGAAUAAGCCCCGGCUAACUUCGUGCCAGCCGCCGCCGUAA